UAGGGGGCAAGCGUUAUCCGGAUUUACUGGGUGUAAAGGGAGCGUAGACGGCAUGACAAGUCUGGAGUGAAAGACCGGGGCCCAACCCCGGGACUGCUUUGGAAACUGUCGGGCUAGAGUGCUGGAGAGGUAAGCGGAAUUCCUAGUGUAGCGGUGAAAUGCGUAGAUAUUAGGAAGAACACCAGUGGCGAAGGCGGCUUACUGGACAGUAACUGACGUUGAGGCUCGAAAGCGUGGGGAGCA
RNAcentral lists this ribosomal RNA (243 nucleotides) under uncultured bacterium. RNAcentral describes it as "partial 16S ribosomal RNA". It matches the Rfam family "Bacterial small subunit ribosomal RNA", at positions 528 to 770 of the family's 1533-position model. The record is from RNAcentral.